GAAGAUUUGUGGAAGCUUCAUGUUUUCCUCUUUUAUUUAGAAAUACAGUAUAGACGAAGAACAGAUAAGCAAGCAAUCACUCCUACAGCAGGUAAGUACAGUUGCCAAUCUUGCAUCAGGGCCGCAAAGAGCAAUGGUACUUGAAUAAUAUUUCAGUUUUGUACAGGUCACAGAUCUCUCUUCCAAAUAAAUUCCAACUACAAAACUCCCCAAAGGUUUUGUGACCCUCCUCUCACUACUUGUGAGAGUCUUCUUCUAAAACAGGGAAGAUAGGCUUUGCAGCCAUAAAGGCACAUUAAGAUUCUUCAGUUAAUUUCAUGGUGUGCACUGCAGACUGCAGGAGGGAUCAGAGGUUCAGCCUUGGUAGAGCAAUUAACACUGGAAAAUCACAUACAAUUCACAUCUCACAUAUCAUAACACCUGUAUUCAAGCACUGCUUCGUCCACUUAGUUAAAGCUUGAACUGCCCAUUGAGCAAAUGACAGGUGAUGAUUGCUAACCAUUUGCAACCAAAACAGCUUGACAAAGGAUAGCCAGCCAAUAUCCAGAGCACCAUAUUGUAUUGUGACACCUUUUGCAUGGAACUGAGAGUGAAACUAUGGUAUUAGGCUGUCAACACUCUACUUUUUACCUUUUUCUGGUAAUGUCCUAUCUUGUAUUACACAAUGUGAUGCCAAUGCGAGUUUCCUCAUGCCACAAGAUUGGUUGUCAAUAGCAGAGAAGAGGAAAAGGCACUGUGAGAUAAUGUCACAUCCAGUAUUGUGUGAUAGAGGUCUGUAUCACCUGCACUUAAAAAACUGAGUUUCAUUUAGUGCUUCAAUACAAUUAAAUAAUUGUUAAUGGAAUACCUUAUGACUGAUCAAUCAGUGUGGAAAUUCCAUCAUUACUUACAUUUUUUGUGGAGGCUCCCCAGUGCAUUUUGGAAACCUGGAAAAGCAGGAGUCUAAAUUAUUUGGGAAGCAUUCAUGGAUUCAAAACGCUCCCCACUUCAUAUAGUCACUUUCCAUGACGUGAGGAAAAUAUAGCAAUGGAGAGGCAGACCUAGUGUGGCCAUCCACACUGCCCUCUGUAAAAUGCUUCAGUGCCCUUUUUGCGAGUCCUGAAAAGAGUUAUUGUCUCUCCUUCAACGUAGCCAGUGAGCUUGGAAAGAGAAGGUCAUCUUCCACUAACUACUUGGAAGAGAUGCCUGCUGUUCCUCUAAAUAGCAUCAGAAAAUAAAAAAUUUCUCCCUUUUACAUAAUUAGAGUCAUUCAAUGAAGCCAAAUGCUGGAAGACUCAGAACACACAAAAGGAACUUCUUCCGACAGUGAAUAAUUAAACUAUGGCAUUCGUUGCUGCAAGAUUUAGUGAAGGCCAACAACUUGGGUGACUAUGAGAGGCUUUAUGAAAUAUGCCAGAGGAAUAAAGUUGUCAAUUACUAUUAACCAUGAUGGCUGUGUACCAAUUUCAGCACUGCAGGUAGUAUAUCUCUGGGUACCAAGUGUUGGGCUUUACCAGUAGGCUUGGUGCUAUUGUGCUUAUGUCCUACUUGUGAGCUUCCCAAAGGCCACUGGUUGGCCACUAAGAGAACACAAUGAUAGAUAUGAUGGGCCUACAGCUUGAUCCAAAAGGACACUUCUUAUUUUCUUAGCUUCUGGGGGGUGGGGGUUGUGUACUGCUAGAUGCUCUGCAUCUAAUGAGGAGCUCUUUCCAGGCAAACUGGCAAGUAGAUUUGCAGGUGCUUGCCAUUAAAUAACUAACAUC
Molecule: long non-coding RNA, 1742 nt
Filed under: Podarcis lilfordi (Lilford's wall lizard)
Lineage: Eukaryota; Metazoa; Chordata; Lepidosauria; Squamata; Lacertidae
Source: RNAcentral